AUUCCUACGGGAGGCAGCAGUGGGAAUAUUGCACAAUGGGCGAAAGCCUGAUGCAGCAACGCCGCGUGAGCGAUGAAGGCCUUCGGGUCGUAAAGCUCUGUCCUAUGGGAAGAUAAUGACGGUACCAUAGGAGGAAGCCCGCUGACUAACGUGCCAGCAGCCGCGGUAAUACGUAGGGGCAGGAUGUUAUCCGGAAUUACUGGGCGUAAAGGGUGCGUAGGCGGUUUAUCAAGUCAGGGGUGAAAGGCUACGGCUCAACCGUAGUGAGCCUCUGAAACUGGUGAACUUGAGUGUAGGAGAGGAAAGUGGAAUUCCCAGUGUAGCGGUGAAAUGCGUAGAUAUUGGGAGGAACACCAGUGGCGAAGGCGACUUUCUGGACUACAACUGACGCUGAGGCACGAAAGCGUGGGGAGCAAACAGGAUUAGAUACCCUGGUAGGCUCUGCU
RNAcentral lists this ribosomal RNA (446 nucleotides) under uncultured bacterium. RNAcentral describes it as "bacterial SSU rRNA". It matches the Rfam family "Bacterial small subunit ribosomal RNA", at positions 335 to 801 of the family's 1533-position model. The record is from RNAcentral.